CCUACGGGGUGCAGCAGUAGGGAAUCUUCCACAAUGGGCGCAAGCCUGAUGGAGCAACACCGCGUGAGUGAAGAAGGGUUUCUGCUCGUAAAGCUCUGUUGUUGGGGAAGAACGUGCGUGAGAGUAACUGUUCACGCAGUGACGGUAUCCAACCAGAAAGUCACGGCUAACUACGUGCCAGCAGCCGCGGUAAUACGUAGGUGGCAAGCAUUAUCUGGUUUUAUUGGGCGUAAAGGGAGAGCAGGCGGUUGCUUAGGUCUGAUGGGAAAGCGUUCGGCUUAACCGAAGAAGUGCAUCUGAAACCGGGCGACUUGAGUGCAGAAGAGGACAGUGGAACUCCAUGUGUAGCGGUGGAAUGCGUAGAUAUAUGGAAGAACACCAGUGGCGAAGGCGGCUGUCUGGUCUGCAACUGACGCUGAGGCUCGAAAGCAGGGGUAGCGAACAGGAUUAGAUACCCUUGUAGUC
Molecule: ribosomal RNA, 465 nt
Filed under: uncultured bacterium
Lineage: Bacteria
Description: partial 16S ribosomal RNA
Rfam family: Bacterial small subunit ribosomal RNA
Source: RNAcentral